This 468-nucleotide ribosomal RNA is filed under the name uncultured bacterium. RNAcentral's name for it is "partial 16S ribosomal RNA". It matches the Rfam family "Bacterial small subunit ribosomal RNA", at positions 28 to 507 of the family's 1533-position model. The record is from RNAcentral.
GACGAACGCUGGCGGCGUGCUUAACACAUGCAAGUCGAACGGAAGGGCCCUGCUUUUGUGGGGUGCUCGAGUGGCGAACGGGUGAGUAACACGUGAGUAACCUGCCCUUGACUUUGGGAUAACUUCAGGAAACUGGGGCUAAUACCGGAUAGGAUCUCCUGCUGCAUGGUGGGGGUUGGAAAGUUUCGGCGGUUGGGGAUGGACUCGCGGCUUAUCAGCUUGUUGGUGGGGUAGUGGCUUACCAAGGCUUUGACGGGUAGCCGGCCUGAGAGGGUGACCGGCCACAUUGGGACUGAGAUACGGCCCAGACUCCUACGGGAGGCAGCAGUGGGGAAUAUUGCACAAUGGGCGGAAGCCUGAUGCAGCAACGCCGCGUGCGGGAUGACGGCCUUCGGGUUGUAAACCGCUUUCGCCUGUGACGAAGCGUGAGUGACGGUAAUGGGUAAAGAAGCACCGGCUAACUACGUG